CUGGCUGAUUCUGCCAGUAGUCAUAUGCUUGUCUC
Molecule: ribosomal RNA, 35 nt
Filed under: Trichoderma koningii
Lineage: Eukaryota; Fungi; Ascomycota; Sordariomycetes; Hypocreales; Hypocreaceae
Description: partial 18S small subunit ribosomal RNA
Source: RNAcentral